AACGAACGCUGGCGGCAUGCCUAACACAUGCAAGUCGAACGAGAUCUUCGGGUCUAGUGGCGCACGGGUGCGUAACGCGUGGGAAUCUGCCCUUUGGUUCGGAAUAACAGUUGGAAACGACUGCUAAUACCGGAUGAUGACGAAAGUCCAAAGAUUUAUCGCCAGAGGAUGAGCCCGCGCAGGAUUAGCUAGUUGGUGUGGUAAAGGCGCACCAAGGCGACGAUCCUUAGCUGGUCUGAGAGGAGGAUCAGCCACACUGGGACUGAGACACGGCCCAGACUCCUACGGGAGGCAGCAGUGGGGAAUAUUGGACAAUGGGCGAAAGCCUGAUCCAGCAAUGCCGCGUGAGUGAUGAAGGCCUUAGGGUUGUAAAGCUCUUUUACCCGGGAUGAUAAUGACAGUACCGGGAGAAUAAGCUCCGGCUAACUCCGUGCCAGCCGCCGCAGUAA
This 449-nucleotide ribosomal RNA is filed under the name uncultured bacterium. Its description in RNAcentral is "partial 16S ribosomal RNA". It matches the Rfam family "Bacterial small subunit ribosomal RNA", at positions 29 to 523 of the family's 1533-position model. The record is from RNAcentral.